GAUGAACGCUGGCGGCGUGCCUAAUACAUGCAAGUCGAGCGAACGGACGAGACGCUUGCUUCUCUGUUGUUAGCGGCGGACGGGUAAGUAACACGUGGAUAACCUACCUAUAAGACUGGGAUAACUUCGGGAAACCGGAGCUAAUACCGGAUAAUAUUUUGAACCGCAUGGUUCAAAAGUGAAAGACGGUCUUGCUGUCACUUCUAGAUGGAUCCGCGCUGCAUUAGCUAGUUGGUAAGGUAACGGCUUACCAAGGCAACGAUGCAUAGCCGACCUGAGAGGGGGAUCGGCCACACUGGAACUGAGACACGGUCCAGACUCCUACGGGAGGCAGCAGUAGGGAAUCUUCCGCAAUGGGCGAAAGCCUGACGGAGCAACGCCGCGUGAGUGAUGAAGGUCUUCGGAUCGUAAAACUCUGUUAUUAGGGAAGAACAUAUGUGUAAGUAACUGUGCACAUCUUGACGGUUCCUAAUCAGAAAGCCACGGCUAACUACGUG
RNAcentral lists this ribosomal RNA (497 nucleotides) under uncultured bacterium. RNAcentral's name for it is "partial 16S ribosomal RNA". It matches the Rfam family "Bacterial small subunit ribosomal RNA", at positions 28 to 507 of the family's 1533-position model. The record is from RNAcentral.